RNAcentral lists this unclassified non-coding RNA (253 nucleotides) under uncultured bacterium. RNAcentral's name for it is "contains 16S-23S intergenic spacer region". It matches the Rfam family "Bacterial small subunit ribosomal RNA", at positions 524 to 776 of the family's 1533-position model. The record is from RNAcentral.
UACGAGUGCCUCAAGCGUUAUCCGGAGUUACUGGGCGUAAAGCGCGUGCAGGCGGAUCGGUAAGUUACUCAUGAAAGCUCCCGGCUAAACUGGGAGAGGUUGAGUGAUACCGCCAGUCUAGAGUGGAUGAGAGGUAAGUAGAAUUCCUUGUGUAGUGGUGAAAUGCGUAGAUAUAAGGAAGAAUACCAGUGGCGAAGGCGACUUACUGGCAUCCAACUGACGCUCAGACGCGAAAGCAUGGGUAGCGAACGGG